Salmo salar (Atlantic salmon) is the source of this 78-nucleotide non-coding RNA. The record is from Rfam. NCBI's taxonomy places the organism in Eukaryota, Metazoa, Chordata, Actinopteri, Salmoniformes, Salmonidae.
UGGCUCAGUUGUUAGAGCAUGGUGUUUGCAACGCCAGCAUGGUGUGUGCAACGCCAGGGUUGUGGGUUCGAUUCCCAC